Molecule: ribosomal RNA, 465 nt
Filed under: uncultured bacterium
Lineage: Bacteria
Description: partial 16S ribosomal RNA
Rfam family: Bacterial small subunit ribosomal RNA
Source: RNAcentral
CCUACGGGAGGCUGCAGUAGGGAAUCUUCCACAAUGGGCGAAAGCCUGAUGGAGCAACGCCGCGUGGGUGAAGAAGGUCUUCGGAUCGUAAAACCCUGUUGUUAGAGAAGAAAGUGCGUGAGAGUAACUGUUCACGUUUCGACGAUAUCUAACCAGAAAGCCACGGCUAACUACGUGCCAGCAGCCGCGGUAAUACGUAGGUGGCAAGCGUUAUCCGGAUUUAUUGGGCGUAAAGGGAACGCAGGCGGUCUUUUAAGUCUGAUGUGAAAGCCUUCGGCUUAACCGGAGUAGUGCAUUGGAAACUGGGAGACGUGAGUGCAGAAGAGGAGAGUGGAACUCCAUGUGUAGCGGUGAAAUGCGUAGAUAUAUGGAAGAACACCAGUGGCGAAAGCGGCUCUCUGGUCUGUAACUGACGCUGAGGUUCGAAAGCGUGGGUAGCAAACAGGAUUAGAUACCCCGGUAGUC